This 496-nucleotide ribosomal RNA is filed under the name uncultured bacterium. RNAcentral describes it as "partial 16S ribosomal RNA". It matches the Rfam family "Bacterial small subunit ribosomal RNA", at positions 30 to 523 of the family's 1533-position model. The record is from RNAcentral.
AUUGAACGCUGGCGGCAUGCUUUACACAUGCAAGUCGAACGGUAGAGGGGGCAACCCCUUGAGAGUGGCGAACGGGUGAGUAAUGCAUCGGAACGUGCCCAGUCGUGGGGGAUAACGCAGCGAAAGCUGUGCUAAUACCGCAUACGAUCUCUGGAUGAAAGCGGGGGACCGAAAGGCCUCGCGCGAUUGGAGCGGCCGAUGUCAGAUUAGGUAGUUGGUGGGGUAAAGGCCUACCAAGCCAACGAUCUGUAGCUGGUCUGAGAGGACGACCAGCCACACUGGGACUGAGACACGGCCCAGACUCCUACGGGAGGCAGCAGUGGGGAAUUUUGGACAAUGGGCGCAAGCCUGAUCCAGCAAUGCCGCGUGCAGGAAGAAGGCCUUCGGGUUGUAAACUGCUUUUGUACGGAACGAAACGGUCUGGGUUAAUACCCUGGGCUAAUGACGGUACCGUAAGAAUAAGCACCGGCUAACUACGUGCCAGCAGCCGCCGUAA